This 735-nucleotide long non-coding RNA is filed under the name Anas platyrhynchos platyrhynchos (common mallard). RNAcentral describes it as "lncRNA (ENSAPLG00000020311.1)". The record is from RNAcentral. Lineage: Eukaryota; Metazoa; Chordata; Aves; Anseriformes; Anatidae.
AUGGAGGGAGAAGGGGGAAGGAAUUUGGCCCCGCUAAAAAUAGCGGGCGCGCAGCCCCGGUGGUGCCGCAGGCCGGGCUGGAGACCCCCGGCCCGGGGCUGCUCCUGCCCUCGGGGCAGGGGAGGUGCGGGUGAGCCCUGGGGAGUUCCCAGCCCUGAGCAUGCUGCCUCCCCCUGGGGGUUGCUCGGCUCUGUCCGGUCUUGGAGAAGCCCCCACCCCCUCCAUAAGCAGUCUGUUGGGAAAGGGGGUGUCAGUCUGCCCUACCGGGGGCUCCCCCGGGCGUUUCGCGGCUCUCCCCUCCCAGCACUUUUAUUUUGGGCUCUGCCGAGCGGGGCCGGGCUCCCCGGGGCUGCAUCGGGUUUCUCCCGGCCGCCCUCCCCGCGGGGCAGAGGCCGGGAGCCGCGCUCCUUCCCCCGACGGCGGCCCGCUCCUAGGAGGUCUCGUCCCGCAGAGGAGGAGGGGGCCGGGGCGGGGUGGGCAGCGCCUUUCUCGCUAAGAGGACCCCCCCUCCCGCACGCACGCUGCCCCCCGCCCGAGGUUUCCGUGGGUCCAGCCGGAAUCCGCGCCGCUCCCGGGGCUUCCCCCCCCCAAGCUGGGGUCUAUGAGCGGGAAGGUGAUCAAGCCCAAAGAAGAGAAAGAUGCUUCCAAGGGAAAAUAACAUUUUUGCUCAAGCUGCAUGAAAACUAUUGGGAUUUGAUGAGUUGAGCUGUUUGUGAUCCUGAAUCCAGAAUGAUG